GAGAGUGGGUAGUCCGCACGAGCGCACCUUGUCCUAUGUUGCCAGCGGAUAAUGCCGGGGACUCGUAGGAGACUGCCGGGGUCAACUCGGAGGAAGGUGGGGACGACGUCAAGUCAUCAUGCCCCUUAUAUCCAGGGCUGCAAACAUGCUACAAUGGCCGGUACAGAGGGCAGCAAAACCGCGAGGUUGAGCGAAUCCCACAAAGCCGGUCUCAGUUCGGAUUGGAGUCUGCAACUCGACUCCAUGAAGGCGGAGUCGCUAGUAAUCCCGGAACAGCAACGCCGGGGUGAAUACGUUCCCGGGCCUUGUACACACCGCCCGUCACACCACGAAAGUCAGCAACACCCGAAGUCAGUGGCCUAACUCUUAGGAGAAGGAGCUGCCGAAGGUGGGGUCGGCGAUUGGGGUGAAGUCGUAACAAGGUAGCCGUACCGGAAGGUGCGGCUGGAUCACCUCCUUUCU
RNAcentral lists this ribosomal RNA (462 nucleotides) under uncultured bacterium. RNAcentral's name for it is "bacterial SSU rRNA". It matches the Rfam family "Bacterial small subunit ribosomal RNA", at positions 1072 to 1533 of the family's 1533-position model. The record is from RNAcentral.